CCUACGGGCGGCAGCAGUAGGGAAUAUUGCUCAAUGGGGGAAACCCUGAUGCAGCGACGCCGCGUGAGGGAUGAAGGAUUUCGGAUUGUAAAGCCCUUUUGUUAGGGAAGAAAAUGACGGUACCUGACUAAGAAGCUCCGGCUAAAUCCGUGCCAGCAGCCGCGGUAAUACGGAUGGAGCAAGCGUUACUCGGAUUUACUGGGGGUAAAGGGCGCGUAGGCGGUAAGGCAAGUCUGAUGUGAAAUGCUAGGGCUCAACCAUGGGACUGCAUUUGAAACUGUUUAUCUAGAGUGUGGGAGAGGCAAGUGGAAUUCGUAGUGUAGCGGUGAAAUGCGUAGAGAUUAAGAGGAACACU
Molecule: ribosomal RNA, 355 nt
Filed under: uncultured bacterium
Lineage: Bacteria
Description: partial 16S ribosomal RNA
Rfam family: Bacterial small subunit ribosomal RNA
Source: RNAcentral